GUGCCAGCAGCCGCGGUAAGACGAACCGUGCGAACGUUGUUCGGAAUCACUGGGCUUAAAGGGCGCGUAGGCGGACUCGCAAGUCUGCGGUGAAAGCCCCCAGCUCAACUGGGGAAGUGCCGUGGAUACUGUGAGUCUGGAGGAGGGUAGGGGCAUCUGGAACGCUGGGUGGAGCGGUGAAAUGCGUUGAUAUCCAGCGGAACUCCGGUGGCGAAGGCGAGGUGCUGGACCCUUUCUGACGCUGAGGCGCGAAAGCCAGGGGAGCAAACGGGAUUAGAAACCCCCGUAGUCC
This 292-nucleotide ribosomal RNA is filed under the name uncultured bacterium. Its description in RNAcentral is "partial 16S ribosomal RNA". It matches the Rfam family "Bacterial small subunit ribosomal RNA", at positions 505 to 796 of the family's 1533-position model. The record is from RNAcentral.